UUUUGAACAUGUACGACAAAUUGGUGUCAAUUUUAUUGAAUUUCUAUAAAUCAUUUUUCAUCAACUUACAUCUUGAUAUUUUUAAAUUAUUAAAUCAUUUUUUGAUAAUGAAAUUUUGAUGUUUUGAUGGAUUUUGAAAUUUUAUAAUAUAUUAUUUUCAUUAUAAUGAUUUUUGGAGUAAAAUCUUUAAUUUAUAUGAAAUUAAUUUAAUUUGAUGGGUUUUUAAAUUUAAAUUUUCAAAAUCUGGCAAAGUGUACCGGUACAAAAUCCCGUACCGGUACAAGUUACUGUAGCCGCGGGUUAUAUAACCGGAUACACGUUUCGAUUCUCUCCCAAAUCUUAAUCAAAUCGCAUCUAUCUUCUCCUGAAGCUCCUAGGCGACGAUCUCCUUCAGAUUUACCUCUUUUCACGU
RNAcentral lists this long non-coding RNA (412 nucleotides) under Ananas comosus (pineapple). RNAcentral's name for it is "long non-coding RNA (ACOM_LNC037277)". The record is from RNAcentral. Lineage: Eukaryota; Viridiplantae; Streptophyta; Magnoliopsida; Poales; Bromeliaceae.